CCUACGGGGGGCAGCAGUGGGGGAUAUUGGACAAUGGGGGGAACCCUGAUCCAGCGACGCCGCGUGAGUGAAGAAGUAUUUCGGUAUGUAAAGCUCUGUCAGCAGGGAAGAAAGAAAUGACGGUACCUGACCAAGAAGCCCCGGCUAACUACGUGCCAGCAGCCGCGGUAAUACGUAGGGGGCAAGCGUUAUCCGGAAUUACUGGGUGUAAAGGGAGCGUAGACGGUUAAGUAAGUCAGGAGUGAAAGGCCGGGGCCCAACCCCGGGACUGCUCUGGAAACUAUUGAACUUGAGUGCAGGGGAGGUAAGCGGAAUUCCUAGUGUAGCGGUGAAAUGCGUAGAUAUUAGGAGGAACACCAGUGGCGAAGGCGGCUUACUGGACUGUAACUGACGUUGAGGCUCGAAAGCGUGGGGAGCAAACAGGAUUAGAUACCCGGGUAGUC
This 443-nucleotide ribosomal RNA is filed under the name uncultured bacterium. RNAcentral describes it as "partial 16S ribosomal RNA". It matches the Rfam family "Bacterial small subunit ribosomal RNA", at positions 338 to 795 of the family's 1533-position model. The record is from RNAcentral.